UACAAUUAGAUGUAAAAUGCAUAAAGAACUUUGAAUUCUUUUGGUUUGGUUUAACUCCAAAAAUUGUAU
Molecule: transfer RNA, 69 nt
Filed under: Youtuus strigatus
Lineage: Eukaryota; Metazoa; Arthropoda; Insecta; Hemiptera; Caliscelidae
Description: tRNA-Gln
Source: RNAcentral